CCCUUUGUGCACGGUAUAUUUGCUGACACACUCCUUGCAUUGGAAUGCAAAGUGGGUGGUAAGUUUCAUGUAAAGGUAAACAUGCAAUUGAACUGAUACACACAAUACCAUGAGGGAAAUAUGAAAAGGACUUUGAAAAAAUUAAAUGAUUUGUAUUUGCUGAACACAAAGUAAACAACUUGAUUUGCUUGGUGGGAUGUUGCACUUGCUUGACAAACUUUGGGCUGUGGGUGUAAUGAUUCUUUCUUUGCAUGCCAGUUUCUAUUUGUACAUCUGAUUACCUUUGCACAUGAAUGAUAAUCUCCUGUGGGGGGGGAUUGCAU
Molecule: ribosomal RNA, 323 nt
Filed under: Alexandrium catenella
Lineage: Eukaryota; Dinophyceae; Gonyaulacales; Pyrocystaceae
Description: partial large subunit ribosomal RNA
Source: RNAcentral